Long non-coding RNA from Penaeus indicus, 363 nucleotides. RefSeq lists it as uncharacterized. NCBI's taxonomy places the organism in Eukaryota, Metazoa, Arthropoda, Malacostraca, Decapoda, Penaeidae. The transcript is spliced from 4 exons. The record is from RefSeq and is a predicted model, not a curated record.
AAGUACUUUGUUCUCGCUUCCUGACCUCUGCAACAUGGCGAUCAUCCUCCUGGCUCUCAUGGCGAUGGCAGCAGCAGCAACAGCAUCGCCAGAACCACAAUUUUUCCAGGCCCAACCGUCAUACGUCACGGUGACCGAGUAUGUCCCACGAUAUGCCACAGUCACCGUGACAGUCAGCAGUUACAUCACCAGGACGCGAUGUCAGCAGUAUGUUACAGUUACUGAAUCUUGUCGAGGUUAAGGCGGGAAGUAGACACCAGUUUGCAAUGCUUCAGUUGCUGUUGCACCCUCCCCGGUUUACAAUGUACCUCCAAUAUGUUGUGUUCUUUGCCUUUUUCUAUUAAAUGUCCUUAAGGCUCAUAA